UGGGGGAUAUUGCACAAUGGAGGAAACUCUGAUGCAGCAACGCCGCGUGAGGGAAGAAGGUCUUCGGAUUGUAAACCUCAGUAGUCAGGGACGAAAGAAAUGACGGUACCUGAAGAGUAAGCUCCGGCUAACUACGUGCCAGCAGCCGCGGUAAUACGUAGGGAGCGAGCGUUGUCCGGAUUUACUGGGUGUAAAGGGUGCGUAGGCGGGAUAGCAAGUCAGACGUGAAAUACCGAGGCUUAACUUCGGGGCUGCGUUUGAAACUGUUAUUCUUGAGUGAAGUAGAGGCAGGCGGAAUUCCUAGUGUAGCGGUGAAAUGCGUAGAUAUUAGGAGGAACACCAGUGGCGAAGGCGGCCUGCUGGGCUUUAACUGACGCUGAGGCACGAAAGAAUGGGGAGCAAACA
Molecule: ribosomal RNA, 405 nt
Filed under: uncultured bacterium
Lineage: Bacteria
Description: bacterial SSU rRNA
Rfam family: Bacterial small subunit ribosomal RNA
Source: RNAcentral